UAUGCCUUAGUAUAUGAUGUACAUAAGUUUUUGAUAUUUGGGGGGGCAGUUUAAUUCUGUCAGGUGUAA
This 69-nucleotide transfer RNA is filed under the name Aesa media. RNAcentral describes it as "tRNA-Gln". The record is from RNAcentral. Lineage: Eukaryota; Metazoa; Arthropoda; Insecta; Coleoptera; Cerambycidae.